This 100-nucleotide non-coding RNA is filed under the name Salisediminibacterium beveridgei. RNAcentral's name for it is "Bacillus beveridgei TPP sequence". It matches the Rfam family "TPP riboswitch aptamer (THI element)". Rfam says of the family: Vitamin B(1) in its active form thiamin pyrophosphate (TPP) is an essential coenzyme that is synthesised by coupling of pyrimidine and thiazole moieties in bacteria. The previously detected thiamin-regulatory element, thi box was extended, resulting in a new, highly conserved RNA secondary structure, the THI element, which is widely distributed in eubacteria and also occurs in some archaea. Analysis of operon structures identified a large number of new candidate thiamin-regulated genes, mostly transporters, in various prokaryotic organisms. Lineage: Bacteria; Bacillati; Bacillota; Bacilli; Caryophanales; Bacillaceae. The record is from Rfam by way of RNAcentral.
AGUAACCACUGGGGGUGCUGAAAAGCUGAGAGGGACGAAUGUCUUAACCCCGUCACCUGAUCUGGAUAAUACCAGCGUAGGGAAGUGGUGCGAGACAAUU